Molecule: unclassified non-coding RNA, 2170 nt
Filed under: Hevea brasiliensis (rubber tree)
Lineage: Eukaryota; Viridiplantae; Streptophyta; Magnoliopsida; Malpighiales; Euphorbiaceae
Source: RNAcentral
GUUUUAUGUUACUUGAAGUGUGAUGGAAUAUUUAUAAUUUUGUUUUUAAUUUUUAAUAUUUUUUUAUUUUUGCACCUUGAAGAGCAAUGAUUGUUAGGGAUAAUGAGAACAUAGAGAGUGAGAGCGAUGAAGAUAGUGAUUCUAUGUUUCCAUUAGAUGAAGUAAAGUAUGAUGAAGAGGAGAGUGCCUUAGUCACUAUGGAAGCAUUGGAUAUGCAAGUAAAGGAUGAGGUUGGAGAAGAGAAACAAUGAGAUAGUGAUUUCCAUCUUAGAUAUAAGAAUGAAGUGCUAAGUGAUAUAGUGGUAACUAUGAUACCUAUGCAAACGCAUGAAAAUGAAGUGAGGUGUAAAAGAGCAAUUGGAGAGAAAAAUAAAAGAGUGGCAGAACACAAGUGUAAAAAGAAAUGUGUGGAAAGUGAUGGGAAAAAGGAUCAAAGAGAAGAAUUUGGAUGAACUUGAAAAAGAAGAGUGCUCAGGACAAAAGGAAAGCAAAGAGAGGGAGUGAAAAGAAAAAUGCUGAAAUUGAAAGAAGUGAGGAGAGUGAAGAAAAACAAGAAGGAGAGCUUGAAAAGAAAGAAAUUGAGGGGCAAAAAGAAAGAAGUGAAAAGGAAGUGAAGAGUAUUCUUUAUGAUAAUCAUGUGAAAAAUUAUAACUUUGACAUUCCUUUGUCUAGUGUUGUUUCUCUUGUGCAAUAUAUGGAGAUGUCAUUCAGUACAACCAAGAAAAAUAGAACAUGGUUGUUGAAGUAUCAUCUAAUAAAGGGAAUACUCUUAGCCAUAUUCUUGAAACUACAUUAUUGGGAUUUGAGUAUAUUAAAAAUCUUUAAGCAAAUGAUGAUGACUUUGUUGGUGUGUUUGUUAAAUUUGAGAAAAAUACAUUCCAAGAGACUUAUAAGAAUGAUGGAUUCUUAAUUAGAGAAAAUAGAAUUUUUGUGCCUAAAUGUUCUAUGAAUGACUUGCUUGUGCAUUUUUGUGAGAAUUUGAGACACAACAUAAAAGUAGAUGAAGAGUAGAAUUAUUUGAUGUGUGUUAAUAAUAUGUCAAGAAAAGAAGAGUUGAGCUCUUAGUUGAAGAAUUGUGUGUCUUACAUAGAAAAGAACAUAUUUGUUAGACAUGCUAUAAGUGAUAGAGAAUGGUCAAAUCCAAAAUUUGUGUCUAAUAUGAGUAAUGUCUAUAGAUUGGAUAAUUGUUAUAGAAGUUUGUAAAAGACUUUUGUGCUAAAUUUGCAAGUUUGAAUAUGAAAGUUGAGAAGCAUAAUGAAUUUGUGUGGGAAAAAGAAAAAGAGUAUGCCAUUCAUGCGUUUAAAGAAAAAACUUGUUUUAUUCCAUUAAUAAAUAUCUUGAUAAACUUUUGAGCUUAAAUGUGAUGUUUUUAGGUGUGGAUAUAAUUCUAUCAUUGAUUGUGAUGUCAUUUUAAUGGUUUGUAAUCCACUUCUUUAUUAUGAUGAAGAGAAAAUUCGAGGACCAAUUUCUUUGAAAAAGGAGGGAUAAAGCGAUUAUGGGAGCACCAAACUACAAGGAAAUUCUCCAAGAAGUGAUUCAAGUGAAGAUCUUCAAAUUUGCCAUGCAAAAGAAGAUUAAAUGAUUCAUUUUAGUGCAAGUAUGCAUGGAUGAAAUUAGUGGAGUUCAAUGUUAGACUUUCCAUUCUCUAGAGCUAAUAAAGCCCCAAAAUGAUUCCAUUUAAAAAAAGGUACAGAAUAUCCCACAACAUACCAUGAGAGACUCACAACCAAUCAUGAGACACUAAAGAGCUUCAUUUGGGCGCACCAUCAGCCAUGGGAUUCUCCUUAGGCGCACCGCUAGCCAUGAUACACAUUUGAGGCACCAACAGAGACCAUUAGGCGCAUCAUUGCCCAUGAGACGCAUGGGGAGCACACCACUGCCCAUGAGAUAGAAGAAUGGGGCAUGUUAGGCUAUGGGAUAAGCUAAUAGGCGCACAAAAGACCAUGAGAUAUGUUUGAGAGAUUAAUUGGGCAGCAAAUCACAUUGGAAGGUGUGCGAACUCAGCAUAGGCACACCAAUGUUUGUGAGAUUUGCUAGAAGACUAAUUUCUUUGAUUAUUUUGUAAUUUUUUUACAUUUAUUAGGGUUUAAUAUUGCUUAGGCAGCCACCAUUAUAAAUAUGUAUUUUUCUUCCUCUUUUAGGCAAGUUUAGAUUUCAGAGAUUAUUAUUA